GAUCCUUCCUUCCCUCUUAGCAGAAGGUGCAUGUGGGUUCAUUAUAGUACUUGGCCCUUAGGUCCACUAAUUAGCACAUGCACGUAUAGAAAAAGUAACUCCUUAAUUAUGAUGAGCCCACACGGAUGAAUUGUGGGGUUAACAUAGUUUAUGUCAGAAAACAGAAUCUGACAUAUCCAGGUUAAAUUAAUUAAUUUAACCAUAUUAAUUUCAACAAUAUCUAGAGCAAGAGAUAAGAAUGAGAUGCAAUGCAACAGCCCAAUCAUAAUUUGGACUUAUUUGGGAUAUGAAAUUACAUAAUUGCCACUGCCAUGGAUUGUGGACAUUGGAGAAAGGUGUCGGUUUGAAAAAAUAGAGGCGAGGAAGAGAGAGACAACUGGGUCAGACCAGUAGAACGUGAUUUCUGCUAACCUUUUUUGUUUUCUCUCCAAUCUCUAAAGAACAGCCCAUUAUCACUUAUUUCACUCUCUUUGUCCUUUUUCUCACUAUAAAUCUAAAGCUUUCUUGCUUCUCUCCCUCUCCCCAUACGAAAACAUUUCCCAUUUCUCCUCCUUCUGUCUUGUGCUCAUUCCCUUCUGAGAAAUGGCAAUGGGUGUUUCCCUGUUGCUUGCUUUCUUCUUGCUCUUCAAUGGAUCUGUUUUGGCUGCUAAAUACAUGGAAGGUAAUGUUCACAUCUUUCAAGUUAAAUUAAACCUCAUUUGCUUCUAGAUAACCAGUGUUUAGCUUAAAAAUCUGUUCUUUUGAGUUGGGUUUUUGUUCUUUUGUUUUCUUCUUCUCUUUUUGUAAUGCAACAGCUGAUCUGGUUUUUUGUAGUCCUUUUUGCUUAUUUUCUGAUCUUCAAUUCCUUCAGGAUUCCUCAAAAAUGGCAACUUUGAGCAGAAACCAAAACCCAGUGACCUCAACAAGACAGUACUCAAAGGAAAAUACGCAUUACCUGGCUGGGUCACCAAUGGUUUAGUGGAAUACAUCUCUGCUGGUCCACAACCUGGUGGGAUGUAUUUUGCAGUGGCUCAUGGUGUUCAUGCUGUGAGACUAGGCAAUGAGGCUUCGAUCUCUCAAACAAUACCAGUAAAACCAGGCUCUCUAUAUGCCCUCACAUUUGGAGCUUCAAGAACUUGUGCCCAAGAUGAGGUUUUGAGAGUCUCUGUGCCUCCUUUGUCCGGGGACCUGCCUUUGCAGACGCUUUAUAGUAGUAAUGGUGGUGACACUUAUGCUUGGGGAUUUAGGGCUAAAUCUAAUGUUGCUAAUGUGAUAUUUCACAAUCGUGGUGUCCAAGAGGACCCUGCUUGUGGACCACUCAUUGAUGCUGUUGCUAUUAAGGAGCUCUUUCCUCCAAGGCCCACAAGAGAUAAUUUGGUAAAAAAUGCUGGCUUUGAAGAGGGUCCUCAUCGCUUUCUCAACUCUUCCAAUGGUGUUCUCCUUCCUCCAAAACAAGAAGAUCUCACAUCCCCACUUCCUGGUUGGAUCAUUGAAUCACUUAAAGCUGUGAAGUUCAUUGAUUCAAAGCACUUCAAUGUUCCUUUUGGACUUGCUGCAGUUGAGCUUGUUGCAGGGAGGGAAAGUGCCAUUGCGCAGAUCCUCAGAACAAUCCCCAACAAAGUCUAUAAUCUGACAUUCACUGUAGGAGAUGCAAAAAAUGGCUGCCAUGGAUCAAUGAUGGUCGAGGCAUUUGCUGCUAAGAAUACCUUUAAGGUUCCAUUUGAGUCCCAAGGAAAAGGUAGGUUCAAGACUCUGAGCUUCAAGUUCAAAGCCAUUUCAGCCAGGACAAGAAUUACAUUCUAUAGCUCAUUCUACCAUACUAGGAUUGAUGACUUUGGAUCCCUUUGUGGCCCUGUACUUGAUCAAGUUAGGGUUUUCCCUGUUGCUUAGAUAUUGGAAUAUCACAUAUAAUGGAAUUCUAGGACGGUCGUUUUAUCUAAACAUUUUGUAAAUUUGACCGUUAAGGCAUUUGCUUUGCUAUCGCAUCCAUCUAGACCAUGUCUUUUCCUUGACGUAAGAUUUUCCCUUCGUGGUAGAACUAGAACCAGAGUUCUUGGACAAAGUAACAGAGAUGUAUUGGCAAUUUCUCAUGUCAUACAUCAGUUUAUUUUGAAAUAUUGAACUGUGUCCAUAAUAUCUUGGACAAAGUAAAUACAUAAAGAAAUGACAAUUGCCAGAUCUAAUGAUGUUAUUGGCCCCCAACUCAAAACAAGGGGAAAAGAAAAAGAAUAAUAUAUCACCGAGAAAACCUUAUACAAGAUAAAAAGGUGAAUGAUGGAGGCCAGUCUGCUUGGUAUGAAAAAUGUGAACAAUGAAUCUAUUGGCUUCACUGGCUCUCAUCCAAAGUACCCACCAGACACUUCUCCAUUAAAAAUUCCGCGUUCACCCAAGCAUGAUAUUUGUUGAAUAAAGAAGUACAAUCUUUGCCCACAGCCUUCAUCAGCAUAUCAACACCUGAAAACAGGAAUUUCUCAUAUCAAACCACUAAACCUGCACACAUUUUAUGGCAUGAGACAACUGUAACAAUACUGGCAGUAGAAAUUAGAAUAAACAAUGCCUCCAUGAUUAAACUAUGUUUUCCUAGUUCAGUGGCGGCAGGAAACACAUCUUUACUUGCCCAUGCACCAUUAAGCAACCCAUCAAGGACCAGAUACAAAAGCAUACACAUGCAUAUGCAUGACAGAAAUGACCAUUAACCCCCUACACAUAAGAUAUCUGGAAAAAAGUAUCAGCAUAAAACUGUAUUCAUACCUCCAGGAUGAAACUU
This 2746-nucleotide unclassified non-coding RNA is filed under the name Hevea brasiliensis (rubber tree). Lineage: Eukaryota; Viridiplantae; Streptophyta; Magnoliopsida; Malpighiales; Euphorbiaceae. The record is from RNAcentral.